Molecule: ribosomal RNA, 119 nt
Filed under: Pogona vitticeps (central bearded dragon)
Lineage: Eukaryota; Metazoa; Chordata; Lepidosauria; Squamata; Agamidae
Source: RNAcentral
GCCUACGGCCAUACCACCCUGAACAUGCCCAAUCUUGUCUGAUCUUGGAAGCUAAGCAGGGUCGGGCCUGGUUAGUACUUGGAUGGGAGACCGCAUGGGAAUUACAGAAUUAAUAUUUU